CUGCAUGUAAAAAAUAUAUAAACUACACAUUUUGAUAGAAAAUUUAAACAAAUGGAAGGGCCUGUUUAAGAACCAUUAAAAAAGAUAAUUUUAAGAAUAUAUUUACCAAUCUUUAUUUUUUAUGAGCUCAUUUAUGACCUCUGCCUAGAAAUGUCAAAGGGUUUCUUCAAGAGUAAAAAGUUUCAAAGAUUUAAAAAAUCUUUUUUGAAAUUGUGCAUAAACUGGGGAGGUACUCUUAGUUGCAUGCAACUUUAUAAGUACAUGUACCAACAUUUAUGAUUCAAGGUCAAUGGUAACAAUCAAUUUUUAAAAAAUUCAGAAAUUAGUGUGUGCAUUGAUUAUUGCCAUUUCAUUAAUUUAGACUAAAAUACGAUUUAAUUUUGUGUGAUAUUGAGAAAACCCGUUUAAUUCAUAUAAAAAAUUUCAAUUUUAAAUUAUUGAGAUUAUCGACCACCAAAAUUUGCAAAGGAUUGACACCAGAUAUAAAAAGAUUUUGAGAACUCUAUCAACCUGUUAAGGUGGUACCCAACACUUUCACUAAAAUUAAUUUGGCUCAAUUAAUUUUCAUAAAAUAUUUUUACUUUGACCAUUGAACAAAUAUAUAAAAAAUUCAAAAAUUUUGAACUAACCGUUUUGUCAGAAAAAUUACACUGGUUAUAUAGCAGUUUGACAAACACCAAUUUGAUCAUUGAGAAGCUUAAUAUUCCCCUUUACAACACAACGUAAUUAAAACGUUAAGCUGACUUUACAGAGUUAUCUCCCUGUAGUGUUAGGUACCACCUUAAGGACCUUAGUGUUUGAUAUCUGAUUUUUUUUUU
This 818-nucleotide long non-coding RNA is filed under the name Mytilus galloprovincialis (Mediterranean mussel). The record is from RNAcentral. Lineage: Eukaryota; Metazoa; Mollusca; Bivalvia; Mytilida; Mytilidae.